RNAcentral lists this ribosomal RNA (465 nucleotides) under Vreelandella stevensii. RNAcentral's name for it is "partial 16S ribosomal RNA". It matches the Rfam family "Bacterial small subunit ribosomal RNA", at positions 338 to 795 of the family's 1533-position model. The record is from RNAcentral. Lineage: Bacteria; Pseudomonadati; Pseudomonadota; Gammaproteobacteria; Oceanospirillales; Halomonadaceae.
CCUACGGGGUGCUGCAGUGGGGAAUAUUGGACAAUGGGCGAAAGCCUGAUCCAGCCAUGCCGCGUGUGUGAAGAAGGCCUUCGGGUUGUAAAGCACUUUCAUUGGGGAAGAAAGCCUUGGGGCUAAUACCCUCGAGGAAGGACAUUACCCACAGAAGAAGCACCGGCUAACUCCGUGCCAGCAGCCGCGGUAAUACGGAGGGUGCGAGCGUUAAUCGGAAUUACUGGGCGUAAAGCGCGCGUAGGCGGUCUGAUAAGCCGGUUGUGAAAGCCCCGGGCUCAACCUGGGAACGGCAUCCGGAACUGUCAGGCUAGAGUGCAGGAGAGGAAGGUGGAAUUCCCGGUGUAGCGGUGAAAUGCGUAGAGAUCGGGAGGAAUACCAGUGGCGAAGGCAGCCUUCUGGACUGACACUGACGCUGAGGUGCGAAAGCGUGGGUAGCAAACAGGAUUAGAUACCCGAGUAGUC